RNAcentral lists this transfer RNA (88 nucleotides) under Tissierella pigra. RNAcentral describes it as "Tissierella sp. DSM 105185 tRNA-Ser". It matches the Rfam family "tRNA". From Rfam's summary of the family: Transfer RNA (tRNA) molecules are approximately 80 nucleotides in length. Their secondary structure includes four short double-helical elements and three loops (D, anti-codon, and T loops). Further hydrogen bonds mediate the characteristic L-shaped molecular structure. tRNAs have two regions of fundamental functional importance: the anti-codon, which is responsible for specific mRNA codon recognition, and the 3' end, to which the tRNAs corresponding amino acid is attached (by aminoacyl-tRNA synthetases). tRNAs cope with the degeneracy of the genetic code in two manners: having more than one tRNA (with a specific anti-codon) for a particular amino acid; and 'wobble' base-pairing, i.e. permitting non-standard base-pairing at the 3rd anti-codon position. The record is from RNAcentral. Lineage: Bacteria; Bacillati; Bacillota; Tissierellia; Tissierellales; Tissierellaceae.
GGAGAGGUGGCCGAGUUAGGUUGAAGGCAGUGGAUUGCUAAUCCAUAAAUGCUUAUGGCAUUCGAGAGUUCGAAUCUCUCCUUCUCCG